UACAGAGGGGGCAAGCGUUGUUCGGAUUCACUGGGUUUAAAGGGUGCGUAGGUGGAUUGGUAAGUCAGUGGUGAAAUCUCUGGGCUUAACUCAGAAACUGCCAUUGAUACUAUCAGUCUUGAAUACCGUGGAGGUCAGCGGAAUAUGUCAUGUAGCGGUGAAAUGCUUAGAUAUGACAUAGAACACCAAUUGCGAAGGCAGCUGGCUACACGAAUAUUGACACUGAGGCACGAAAGCGUGGGGAUCAAACAGG
This 253-nucleotide ribosomal RNA is filed under the name uncultured bacterium. RNAcentral's name for it is "partial 16S ribosomal RNA". It matches the Rfam family "Bacterial small subunit ribosomal RNA", at positions 524 to 776 of the family's 1533-position model. The record is from RNAcentral.